GAAUAACAGACAAUUAUCAUGAACAAGGAAAUAUAAUAAUAAUCAUUUUAUUAUUGCCUCUAGGGCAUAUUUCCAACAGAGAGCACGUUUGUUAUCAAUUCUAUAAUAUAGCUAGGUAUGUAGUUUAACAUUUGCCACUUUUCUUUUUUAUGUAUUCAUCCUUCUACAGAUAAAUUAAGGGGACUUCCAUGGGAAACACGUUAUGAGAUAAUCUUCGGAAUUUGUAAGGGUCUGCAUUAUCUUCACGAAGAAAAAAGAAUUGUUCAUAUGGAUCUUAAACCAGCAAACAUAUUACUAGAUGGCAAAAAUAUGGUUCCAAAAAUCACCGAUUUUGAUUUGUCAAGACCGGAUGAAAACUCACAUACUACUGUUCAAUGUGUUGGAACGCAAGGAUAUAUCGCUCCAGAAUACCGGGACGCUAGCAAAACUUCAAUGAAAUGUGACAUAUAUAGUUUGGGGGUCAUAAUCAUUGAAUUGGUAACGGGAUGUAAGGGCCUCCCUGACGAACAGAAGGUACUUCGAAGAUGGAGACAUAGGUGGAGUAAGCCACCAACAAUACUACAACUCCAGCAAGUAACCAGAUGUAUUAAGAUAGGAGUGAGGUGCAGGGAAAAGAAACCAGAGCAUAGGCCACCUAUAUCAGAAAUAAUCAGCUUCCUGGGUGAACCUGCAAGCACCGAUGACCACACUAGCCGGGUACAAUCAUGUCUAUAUAAUCCCCUAACAUAUAUAUAAUCCCUCAUCCUCUAAAAAGCUAUUUUUUAGAUGAUUAAAUGUCUCUACAACUUAUGAUCCCCACAAAUUUCGAACACAAAUUUUUUCAUGCAAAUUCAUUUGGAACACACAUUUAAAAUACUUCAUUCAGAAAUUAAACAACGGCACUGCAUUAACAUCAACCUAGCAGACUAAAAAACUCAUUACUUAGUACAUUAGCAUUGUGUCGCCAUUAAACGAGCUAAACUUCAGUAGAUAGCAGAUAUAUAAUACGAGGAAUGGUACGAGGAGCUCUACUCCUCGUUGAAGGAGAUGUGGAUCACCCCCGCGCCAGAGGGUCGGCCUCCUCAUCAUUGGCCGUGGGAUAAAUCAUGGGAUGAAGGUGAAACCGUUGGCAUCUUCCUCCUCGUUGCCGGCUUUGCCAGUGAAGUCCAUGAAAAGCUCUGCGCGCUUGGCAUUGUGGCAAAGAGCUUCUUGUGCUCACUCUUGAUCGUGCACGUUCUCUCCACGUACGCGAAGAUCAUGUGGUGCUUGGUUAUGAGCUCCGGGUUGACGUAGAGCGCCGCCACGAUGUUGGCAUCGGCUGCCUCGGGCGUGAGGUGAUCCUCCUCUUUGGUAAGCGUGUGGAGGUACUUCUCCACCCCCUGGUCAUGGCAUCAGUACUGCAAGCUCAUCGGUUGGAGGGUCUAUCCCCAUCCCCUCAUCGUCCUCCUCUUCCUUCUCCUUGUGACAUAGGGGAGCUCCUAAACGUGUGGGGCGCCCCCAGUCACGACACUGUGUACCCUCGCGUCCCUCUGCUCGCCCUGUUUCGCCGGCCUAUGUGAGGGGCAGGGCGCCCCU
Triticum dicoccoides is the source of this 1554-nucleotide long non-coding RNA. RefSeq lists it as uncharacterized. Lineage: Eukaryota; Viridiplantae; Streptophyta; Magnoliopsida; Poales; Poaceae. The record is from RefSeq and is a predicted model, not a curated record. The transcript has 3 exons.